RNAcentral lists this transfer RNA (76 nucleotides) under Pseudomonas sp. PONIH3. Its description in RNAcentral is "tRNA-Ala". It matches the Rfam family "tRNA". From Rfam's summary of the family: Transfer RNA (tRNA) molecules are approximately 80 nucleotides in length. Their secondary structure includes four short double-helical elements and three loops (D, anti-codon, and T loops). Further hydrogen bonds mediate the characteristic L-shaped molecular structure. tRNAs have two regions of fundamental functional importance: the anti-codon, which is responsible for specific mRNA codon recognition, and the 3' end, to which the tRNAs corresponding amino acid is attached (by aminoacyl-tRNA synthetases). tRNAs cope with the degeneracy of the genetic code in two manners: having more than one tRNA (with a specific anti-codon) for a particular amino acid; and 'wobble' base-pairing, i.e. permitting non-standard base-pairing at the 3rd anti-codon position. Lineage: Bacteria; Pseudomonadati; Pseudomonadota; Gammaproteobacteria; Pseudomonadales; Pseudomonadaceae. The record is from RNAcentral.
GGGGCCAUAGCUCAGCUGGGAGAGCGCCUGCCUUGCACGCAGGAGGUCAGCGGUUCGAUCCCGCUUGGCUCGACCA